This 76-nucleotide transfer RNA is filed under the name Candidatus Roizmanbacteria bacterium RIFCSPHIGHO2_01_FULL_39_12b. RNAcentral's name for it is "tRNA-Arg". It matches the Rfam family "tRNA". Rfam says of the family: Transfer RNA (tRNA) molecules are approximately 80 nucleotides in length. Their secondary structure includes four short double-helical elements and three loops (D, anti-codon, and T loops). Further hydrogen bonds mediate the characteristic L-shaped molecular structure. tRNAs have two regions of fundamental functional importance: the anti-codon, which is responsible for specific mRNA codon recognition, and the 3' end, to which the tRNAs corresponding amino acid is attached (by aminoacyl-tRNA synthetases). tRNAs cope with the degeneracy of the genetic code in two manners: having more than one tRNA (with a specific anti-codon) for a particular amino acid; and 'wobble' base-pairing, i.e. permitting non-standard base-pairing at the 3rd anti-codon position. Lineage: Bacteria; Candidatus Roizmaniibacteriota. The record is from RNAcentral.
GCGCCUGUAGCUCAACUGGAUAGAGCGCAUCGCUUCGGACGAUGAGGUUUUGGGGGUUCAAAUCCCUCCAGGCGCG